Non-coding RNA from Mesoplodon densirostris (Blainville's beaked whale), 128 nucleotides. RefSeq annotates it as small Cajal body-specific RNA 23. The record is from RefSeq and is a predicted model, not a curated record. The transcript has a single exon. Lineage: Eukaryota; Metazoa; Chordata; Mammalia; Artiodactyla; Ziphiidae.
CCGCUCACCAGGGCUCGGUCCCUCCAUGUGGUGCUGACCUCCCUGCCCUCUGUGAGCAAGAGAAACAGGACUGGUUUGGGGGUGUCCCAUCUGAGUGGACCUGGGAGACCACGGUUCUCAGUACAACA